This 253-nucleotide ribosomal RNA is filed under the name uncultured bacterium. RNAcentral describes it as "partial 16S ribosomal RNA". It matches the Rfam family "Bacterial small subunit ribosomal RNA", at positions 524 to 776 of the family's 1533-position model. The record is from RNAcentral.
UACGGAGGGUGCAAGCGUUGUUCGGAAUCACUGGGCGUAAAGCGCGUGUAGGCGGCCUCUUAAGUCUGAUGUGAAAGCCCGGGGCUUACCCCCGGAAGGGCAUUGGAAACUGGGAGGCUAGAGUACCGGAGAGGAAGGUGGAAUUCCUGGUGUAGCGGUGAAAUGCGUAGAUAUCAGGAGGAACACCGGUGGCGAAGGCGGCCUUCUGGACGGAUACUGACGCUGAGACGCGAAAGCGUGGGGAGCAAACAGG